Molecule: ribosomal RNA, 440 nt
Filed under: uncultured bacterium
Lineage: Bacteria
Description: partial 16S ribosomal RNA
Rfam family: Bacterial small subunit ribosomal RNA
Source: RNAcentral
CCUACGGGAGGCAGCAGUAGGGAAUUUUACGCAAUGGGCGAAAGCCUGACGCAGCAACGCCGCGUGAACGAGACGCCCUUUGGGGUGUAAAGUUCUUUUAGUGGGGACGAAAAAUGACGGUAUCCAAAGAGUAAGCACCGGCUAACUCCGUGCCAGCAGCCGCGGUAAUACGGAGGGUGCAAGCGUUGUCCGGAAUCAUUGGGCGUAAAGAGCUCGUAGGCGGGAUGGAAAGUCAGGUGUUAAAGGCGCAGGCUCAACCUUUGUAUGGCACUUGAUACUGGCAAUCUGGAAUGCGGUAGAGGUAAAGGGAAUUCCUGGUGUAGCGGUGAAAGGCGUAGAGAUCAGGAGGAACAUCGGUGGCGUAGGCGAUUUACUGGACCGUAAUUGACGCUGAGGAACGAAAGCCAGGGUAGCAAAUGGGAUUAGAUACCCGAGUAGUC